CAGAUGGUGGUCAACUUUCUGCCUUUUAUUUUGAUAAUACGUGCGAGUAUCUCUGUGUGUGCAUGUAAAUAAUUACGUGAUGCAUCCCUGUGUGUACGUAUAUGUGUCUGUGUGCGCGCAUAAACAUGCAUCCGUGUGUGCGAGAGACAGAGGAAAAAUAACCCACCCUGCUGAUGCACACUCAGAUGAUUUGCUCCAUUUGCCCACUCCGAAUGCCCUUUAAAGACACGAUGCAUCUUCUCCUUGCUCCUUACCGAUCCCUGCGACUGUCAUCUUGUUUUAAUGACAACUUAGCUGGGGUGGGGGUGAGGAGGGAGCAAGUUUCAAGUUUUGGGAUCUCUCCUCUUGUUGGCGUUGUGGCGAGUUACAAUAUUGUAAAAUCAUGGUGUGCUGAUGAUGUGCCUUUAUUUGAUACUUUAUAGGUCACUAUCACAUGACAAAGGCUUUGGGACAGCUUCAUCUUCGUCUGUCUGUCAUUUCCAUUUGCUUUCCUGGGAGGUUCCCCCAGUUGCAAGAGCAGGAGUAGGACGUGCCCUUUCAAACCGGCUCACGCGUGAAAGCGGGCUCAGCGUGGCACCCACGGCAGCCCUUGCCCAGGCCAGGCGAAGCCGGGCUGUAGGCAGGAUGGUAGACUGCUGCACCGAAAACAUUUCUGUGCCAGCUCCGUGACUGGGGAAGGCUAAAGAGGUGAGUGCUGGUUUUACGUCCUGUAGGUUCAGGGAGUGGAUGAAGGAGGAACCAAGUGUCACAACCUACCCAGGCUC
This 764-nucleotide long non-coding RNA is filed under the name Manacus vitellinus (golden-collared manakin). RNAcentral's name for it is "lncRNA (ENSMVIG00005011049.1)". Lineage: Eukaryota; Metazoa; Chordata; Aves; Passeriformes; Pipridae. The record is from RNAcentral.